AGACCUCUUGAGAGAUCUUUUGACUCCAAUUCGGACGAUGACUCUGAUUUGGAAGAUGACCCGAACAUCGAGUACGAGGAUGUAAGCGAGGAGGAAGAAAAUAGAAAAGAAAAGCUUAUAAGCGUAUGGUGCAACGAAGACGGUGGUUGUCCAAGAAAUUGUACUUGCCACAGGCGAAAACACGUGUGCAUCCCAAAAACGGCAGAAUGACACUCCCUAUACGAGCCAUUCAUAAUAAGGGUAGCCUCAUAUAUGUGUCCGUAAAGCAAUAAAAAUUUCGCCCAUAA
Long non-coding RNA from Rhipicephalus microplus (southern cattle tick), 287 nucleotides. The record is from RefSeq and is a predicted model, not a curated record. NCBI's taxonomy places the organism in Eukaryota, Metazoa, Arthropoda, Arachnida, Ixodida, Ixodidae.